CCUACGGGGUGCAGCAGUGGGGAAUAUUGCACAAUGGGGGGAACCCUGAUGCAGCAACGCCGCGUGAAGGAAGACGGUUUUCGGAUUGUAAACUUCUAUCAAUAGGGAAGAAAGAAAUGACGGUACCUAAAUAAGAAGCCCCGGCUAACUACGUGCCAGCAGCCGCGGUAAUACGGAGGAUGCGAGCGUUAUCCGGAUUUAUUGGGUUUAAAGGGUGCGCAGGCGGGCUGUUAAGCCGGCGGUAAAAAUUCAGGGCUCAACCUUGUCGAGCCGUCGGAACUGGCAGUCUUGAGUGGGCGAGAAGUAUGCGGAAUGCGUGGUGUAGCGGUGAAAUGCAUAGAUAUCACGCAGAACGCCGAUUGCGAAGGCAGCAUACCGGCGCCCAACUGACGCUGAGGCACGAAAGCGUGGGGAUCGAACAGGAUUAGAUACCCCAGUAGUC
RNAcentral lists this ribosomal RNA (442 nucleotides) under uncultured bacterium. RNAcentral's name for it is "partial 16S ribosomal RNA". It matches the Rfam family "Bacterial small subunit ribosomal RNA", at positions 338 to 795 of the family's 1533-position model. The record is from RNAcentral.